CCUUACUGGGUACAUGGUUCGCCAAUAUUUUCUCCCAUUCCAUAGGUUGCCUCUUCAUUGUUUCCUUUGCUGUGCAGAAACUUUUGAGUUUGCUAUAAUAUUACUUGUUAAUUUCUGCUUCCAUUGCUUGUGCUUUUAGGUGUCAUAUCCAAAAAAUUGUUGCCAAGACCAAUAUUAAGCUUUUUCCCUGUUUUCUUCUAGGGGUUUUAUGAUCCCAGGUUUUACGUUGAAGUCUUUGACCCAUCUUGAGAUGAUGUUUUGUGAGUGGCGUAAUAUCAGUGGCUGUAUCUUGACUGUAGAUGUUAUGGGCAGCAGCUGGGACUGGCGGAUUCAUAAGGCCUUGGAAUGGCAGCCAAAUCACAACCAUGAGGAGAACCAACCUUAGGAUAAAACCAGCGGUGAUCAAAGAAAGAGAGAGCGAGGCACCGUGAUGACAUCACUGGGCUGCCGAUAGGCACCAGCAUUUGGACUCUAAGAUACAAUGAGAAGUCAACAGUCUGCAACCUGGAAGAGGGUUCCUCAGCAGAUCUCAACCAGCUGGCAUCCUUAUCUUGGAUUUAUGACAUCCAGAACUCUG
Manis pentadactyla (Chinese pangolin) is the source of this 577-nucleotide long non-coding RNA. RefSeq lists it as uncharacterized. The record is from RefSeq and is a predicted model, not a curated record. NCBI's taxonomy places the organism in Eukaryota, Metazoa, Chordata, Mammalia, Pholidota, Manidae. The transcript is spliced from 3 exons.